Eriocheir sinensis (Chinese mitten crab) is the source of this 115-nucleotide small nuclear RNA. RefSeq annotates it as U5 spliceosomal RNA. NCBI's taxonomy places the organism in Eukaryota, Metazoa, Arthropoda, Malacostraca, Decapoda, Varunidae. The record is from RefSeq and is a predicted model, not a curated record. The transcript has a single exon.
GCUUGGAUUUAACCGGUCAAAACGCAUAAAUCUUUCGCCCUUUAGUAAAGAUUUCCGUGGAGGAGAACAACUCAGUCUUAAAUAAUUUUUUUCUCGUGGGCCUAAUAUAACGCGA